RNAcentral lists this ribosomal RNA (484 nucleotides) under uncultured bacterium. Its description in RNAcentral is "partial 16S ribosomal RNA". It matches the Rfam family "Bacterial small subunit ribosomal RNA", at positions 28 to 507 of the family's 1533-position model. The record is from RNAcentral.
AUUGAACGCUGGCGGCAUGCUUUACACAUGCAAGUCGAACGGCAGCGCGGGCUUCGGCCUGGCUGCGAGUGGCGAACGGGUGUGUAAUGCAUCGGAACGUGCUCAGUAGUGGGGUAUAGCACGGCGAAAGACGGAUUAAUACUGCAUACGACCUGAGGGUGAAAGCGGGGGAGCGAAAGGCCUCGCGCUAUUGGAGCGGUCGAUGGCGGAUUGGCUAGUUGGUGGGGUGAAGGCUUACCAAGGCGACGAUCCGUAGCUGGUCUGCGAGGACGACAAGCCACACUGGGACUGCGACACGGCCAAGACUCCUACGGGAGGCAGCAGUGGGGAAUUUUGGACAAUGGGGGCAACCCUGCUCCAGCCAUGCCGCGUGCGGGAAGAAGGCCUUCGGGUUGUAAACCGCUUUUGUUCGGGAAGAAAUCCUCUGGGCUAAUACCCCGGGGGGAUGACGGUACCGGAAGAAUAAGCACCGGCUAACUACGUG